This 1092-nucleotide long non-coding RNA is filed under the name Anser cygnoides (Swan goose). RNAcentral describes it as "lncRNA (ENSACDG00005019042.1)". The record is from RNAcentral. Lineage: Eukaryota; Metazoa; Chordata; Aves; Anseriformes; Anatidae.
AAGGCCACUGCUGUUGGAGCAGGGAUGGAUUUGUCCCUGCAAGUUCGUGCUGCUGACGGAUUUGUUCCACCGACGUGUCGUGCAGAUGUCUCAUACAUGAUGCAGGACGUCAGGUAAGAUUUGAAGCAGUGAGCUGACAUAGGAAACACCACUUGUGAGGUUUAACUCUAGAUUACGUUAAACAGCCCAGCAGAACCUUUUGCUGCGCCAGUAGCUGUUCUUCUUGUCAAGAGAACAAAACCCUGCAAAAGAAUUCCAAUAAAAUAAUGUUUUUGUGUCUCGGUGAAGUGCCACCAUGCCACCAGAGGCUGCAAACUGUCUGUGACUUAGGAGGUAUCUCUCCUUCGGGCUCUGACUUCACCAAGGCAAAAAGGUGUCGCUGCAAGAGCCACGUCUAGGAAGGGUGUCACUCACGCUGUCCUGUUUUUGCUGCACUCUGUAAAUGCUGACCUUGCAGGAACCAGGGGCGUAAUGUGUUGUAGCCCUGCACAGAAAUGUGAACAAGUAUUUUGUCAAAUCCCUGGAUCUACUUCUGAGUUUUGAGCUGAAAUCCAAAGAUGUUGUGGCCAUCGAAAAACUCUCAGGCUGCCCUCACCCAGGGCUGAAUGCCGAGAUACGUCCCCUGCCCAUCCAUGUCCCCGUGUGAGUUUGUGUAAGACCACGAAGGCACCACGGUUUGGCAAAGGGGUGUCUCCAGGUGGGAAAAUGUGUCUCGUAUGUGCAGCCAUGUCACAUCGCUCACUGCUGCGAUGUAAAAGGGCUGCUGAUGUCUCCAGAAAGGGGGCCAGGACCUCCGAAAGCAGAGGAUGGUUUGAACGUUUGCUGUGUGCCACUGGUGGGAUCUCGUGGGCUGGCACGGUGGCGGAUGCACAGGAUAAAUGUGGCCAUUGUCAGAAUCCUGGUCAUCGCUUCGUGGGAAGACUUCAGGGAAUGUUAAAAAUAGAGGGUCAAGAAGCGUGGGGGAAGAGACGAGUGCUCUGCUGCCUGGCUGAGGUCGCCUUUGGAGCCAUUUCCAUGGGCUCCUACCAAUCCAUUGAAGGCAAAGCACUCCUUUACCCAGUCCUGAGCACAUGUUGGACCCUGGCCCUAUAA